GCUUGUUUGUGGCUCUGAAUUGUUAGUUGGGUAGUCUCCCAAAUAUUGAUUCUCUGAAAUAAUUCUUGAAUUACGAGUGAAUUCGUUCAAAUAUCCUUUAUUUUAUUUCUAAAAGUGUGAAUUAACAACACUUGGAGGUGAAUUGGAUACUACGAGCAUACGUAGAAGGUGAUCAUAACCAUAUAAUAUUGGUUGUCUGAACCAACCAACACUGGUACUGCAAGGGUUAAUUUCCGCAACUAUAACCACCGAUGAAUGAAACGCGUCAAGCCGCUGCUGGUAGCAACUGAAAAAUCAAGUCUUGCUGCGAUAUUUAAGGCAAACAUCUAAUAAAUUUCAAACACAAGUUAAAAAAAAAAAAAAAAAAAAA
This is a long non-coding RNA of Aedes aegypti (yellow fever mosquito), 370 nucleotides long. RefSeq lists it as uncharacterized. The record is from RefSeq and is a predicted model, not a curated record. The transcript has 2 exons. Lineage: Eukaryota; Metazoa; Arthropoda; Insecta; Diptera; Culicidae.